RNAcentral lists this ribosomal RNA (247 nucleotides) under uncultured Streptococcus sp. RNAcentral describes it as "partial 16S ribosomal RNA". It matches the Rfam family "Bacterial small subunit ribosomal RNA", at positions 1139 to 1382 of the family's 1533-position model. The record is from RNAcentral. Lineage: Bacteria; Bacillati; Bacillota; Bacilli; Lactobacillales; Streptococcaceae.
UCUAGCGAGACUGCCGGUAAUAAACCGGGAGGAAGGUGGGGAUGACGUCAAAUCAUCCAUGCCCCUUAUGACCUGGGCUACACACGUGCUACAAGUGGUUGGUACAACGAGUUGCGAGUCGGUGACGGCGAGCUAAUCUCUUAAAGCCAAUCUCAGUUCGGAUUGUAGGCUGCAACUCGCCUACAUGAAGUCGGAAUCGCUAGUAAUCGCGGAUCAGCACGCCGCGGUGAAUACGUUCCCGGGCCUU